CAAUGCUCUUGCUGCCGGAAGAUGUUUUUGAAGAAACAAAAGAUGUUAUUGAUUCCUCAAUUGAUGCAAAAAGAGGGAAUCAACCACCUGAUAUCAACCCGUCAAGAAGACUUAAUCUAGGACAAGUCGCCAAACCUUUUGUAAUGGGUGAAUAUCAGUGGAGAUGAGAAAGCAGUUGUAUCAGG
This is a long non-coding RNA of Mus pahari (shrew mouse), 185 nucleotides long. RefSeq lists it as uncharacterized. The transcript is spliced from 3 exons. Lineage: Eukaryota; Metazoa; Chordata; Mammalia; Rodentia; Muridae. The record is from RefSeq and is a predicted model, not a curated record.